This 485-nucleotide ribosomal RNA is filed under the name Nematostella vectensis (starlet sea anemone). RNAcentral describes it as "Eukaryotic large subunit ribosomal RNA". It matches the Rfam family "Eukaryotic large subunit ribosomal RNA", at positions 957 to 1444 of the family's 3401-position model. Lineage: Eukaryota; Metazoa; Cnidaria; Anthozoa; Actiniaria; Edwardsiidae. The record is from Rfam by way of RNAcentral.
NNNNNNNNNNNNNNCCUCAGGAUAGCUGGAACUUACGGCAGUUUUAUCAGGUAAAGCGAAUGAUUAGAGGUCUUAGGGUUAAAACAACCUUAACCUAUUCUCAAACUUUAAAUUGGUAAGAAGUCCGACUUGCUUAAUUGAAGCCGGACAGUGAAUGCGAGUUCCUAGUGGGCCAUUUUUGGUAAGCAGAACUGGCGAUGCGGGAUGAACCGAACGCGCGGUUAAGGUGCCAAAGUCGACGCUCAUCAGACCCCACAAAAGGUGUUGGUUGCUCUAGACAGCAGGACGGUGGCCAUGGAAGUUGGAAUCCGCUAAGGAGUGUGUAACAACUCACCUGCCGAAGCAACUAGCCCUGAAAAUGGAUGGCGCUCAAGCGUCGCACCUAUACCGUGCCGUCGGAGCAGAUGCGAAGCUCCGACGAGUAGGAGGGCGUGGGGGUCGUGACGCAGCCUCUGGCGCGAGCCUGGGUGAAACGGCCUCCAGUG